AUGCAAGUCGAACGAAGGCUUCGGCCUUAGUGGCGCACGGGUGCGUAACGCGUGGGAAUCUGCCCCUGGGUUCGGAAUAACAGCGAGAAAUUGCUGCUAAUACCGGAUGAUGACGAAAGUCCAAAGAUUUAUCGCCCAGGGAUGAGCCCGCGUAGGAUUAGCUAGUUGGUGGGGUAAAGGCUCACCAAGGCGACGAUCCUUAGCUGGUCUGAGAGGAUGAUCAGCCACACUGGGACUGAGACACGGCCCAGACUCCUACGGGAGGCAGCAGUGGGGAAUAUUGGACAAUGGGCGAAAGCCUGAUCCAGCAAUGCCGCGUGAGUGAUGAAGGCCUUAGGGUUGUAAAGCUCUUUUACCCGGGAUGAUAAUGACAGUACCGGGAGAAUAAGCUCCGGCUAACUCCGUGCCAGCAGCCGCGGUAAUACGGAGGGAGCUAGCGUUAUUCGGAAUUACUGGGCGUAAAGCGCACGUAGGCGGCUUUGUAAGUUAGAGGUGAAAGCCUGGAGCUCAACUCCAGAAUUGCCUUUAAGACUGCAUCGCUUGAAUCCAGGAGAGGUGAGUGGAAUUCCGAGUGUAGAGGUGAAAUUCGUAGAUAUUCGGAAGAACACCAGUGGCGAAGGCGGCUCACUGG
Molecule: ribosomal RNA, 631 nt
Filed under: Sphingomonas sp. WD7
Lineage: Bacteria; Pseudomonadati; Pseudomonadota; Alphaproteobacteria; Sphingomonadales; Sphingomonadaceae
Description: bacterial SSU rRNA
Rfam family: Bacterial small subunit ribosomal RNA
Source: RNAcentral